UGGGGAAUUAGCCCAAUGGGCGCAAGCCUUACGCAGCAACGCGGUUUUAGCGAUGAAAACGAGGUUUACAACCACAUGUCUUUCCUGGGACACGCGGAAAGGGACGGUCAGGCAGAAAAAGCACCGCCUAAUUCCCCG
RNAcentral lists this ribosomal RNA (138 nucleotides) under uncultured Cryobacterium sp. RNAcentral's name for it is "partial 16S ribosomal RNA". The record is from RNAcentral. Lineage: Bacteria; Bacillati; Actinomycetota; Actinomycetes; Micrococcales; Microbacteriaceae.